GGGUUGUGAGGUUAAGCGACUAAGCGUACACGGUGGAUGCCCUGGCAGUCAGAGGCGAUGAAGGACGUGCUAAUCUGCGAAAAGCGUCGGUAAGGUGAUAUGAACCGUUAUAACCGGCGAUGUCCGAAUGGGGAAACCCAGUGCAAUUCGUUGCACUAUCGUUAACUGAAUACAUAGGUUAACGAGGCGAACCGGGGGAACUGAAACAUCUAAGUACCCCGAGGAAAAGAAAUCAACCGAGAUUCCCCCAGUAGCGGCGAGCGAACGGGGAGCAGCCCAGAGUCUGAAUCAGCUUGUGUGUUAGUGGAACGGUCUGGAAAGUCCGACGGUACAGGGUGAUAGUCCCGUACACCAAAAUGCACAGGCUGUGAACUCGAAGAGUAGGGCGGGACACGUGGUAUCCUGUCUGAAUAUGGGGGGACCAUCCUCCAAGGCUAAAUACUCCUGACUGACCGAUAGUGAACCAGUACCGUGAGGGAAAGGCGAAAAGAACCCCGGCGAGGGGAGUGAAAAAGAACCUGAAACCGUGUACGUACAAGCAGUGGGAGCACCUUCGGGUGUGACUGCGUACCUUUUGUAUAAUGGGUCAGCGACUUAUAUUCUGUAGCAAGGUUAACCGUAUAGGGGAGCCGCAGGGAAACCGAGUCUUAACUGGGCGUUAAGUUGCAGGGUAUAGACCCGAAACCCGGUGAUCUAGCCAUGGGCAGGUUGAAGGUUGGGUAACACUAACUGGAGGACCGAACCGACUAAUGUUGAAAAAUUAGCGGAUGACUUGUGGCUGGGGGUGAAAGGCCAAUCAAACCGGGAGAUAGCUGGUUCUCCCCGAAAGCUAUUUAGGUAGCGCCUCGUGAAUUCAUCUUCGGGGGUAGAGCACUGUUUCGGCUAGGGGGUCAUCCCGACUUACCAACCCGAUGCAAACUACGAAUACCGAAGAAUGUUAUCACGGGAGACACACGGCGGGUGCUAACGUCCGUCGUGAAGAGGGAAACAACCCAGACCGCCAGCUAAGGUCCCAAAGUCAUGGUUAAGUGGGAAACGAUGUGGGAAGGCACAGACAGCCAGGAUGUUGGCUUAGAAGCAGCCAUCAUUUAAAGAAAGCGUAAUAGCUCACUGGUCGAGUCGGCCUGCGCGGAAGAUGUAACGGGGCUAAACCAUGCACCGAAGCUGCGGCAGCGACACUAUGUGUUGUUGGGUAGGGGAGCGUUCUGUAAGCCUGCGAAGGUGUGCUGUGAGGCAUGCUGGAGGUAUCAGAAGUGCGAAUGCUGACAUAAGUAACGAUAAAGCGGGUGAAAAGCCCGCUCGCCGGAAGACCAAGGGUUCCUGUCCAACGUUAAUCGGGGCAGGGUGAGUCGACCCCUAAGGCGAGGCCGAAAGGCGUAGUCGAUGGGAAACAGGUUAAUAUUCCUGUACUUGGUGUUACUGCGAAGGGGGGACGGAGAAGGCUAUGUUAGCCGGGCGACGGUUGUCCCGGUUUAAGCAUGUAGGCUGGUUAUCCAGGCAAAUCCGGAUAAUCAAGGCUGAGGUGUGAUGACGAGGCACUACGGUGCUGAAGUAACAAAUGCCCUGCUUCCAGGAAAAGCCUCUAAGCAUCAGGUAACAUCAAAUCGUACCCCAAACCGACACAGGUGGUCAGGUAGAGAAUACCAAGGCGCUUGAGAGAACUCGGGUGAAGGAACUAGGCAAAAUGGUGCCGUAACUUCGGGAGAAGGCACGCUGGUGUGUAGGUGAAGCCCCUGCGGGUGGAGCUGAGACCAGUCGAAGAUACCAGCUGGCUGCAACUGUUUAUUAAAAACACAGCACUGUGCAAACACGAAAGUGGACGUAUACGGUGUGACGCCUGCCCGGUGCCGGAAGGUUAAUUGAUGGGGUUAUCCGUAAGGAGAAGCUCUUGAUCGAAGCCCCGGUAAACGGCGGCCGUAACUAUAACGGUCCUAAGGUAGCGAAAUUCCUUGUCGGGUAAGUUCCGACCUGCACGAAUGGCGUAAUGAUGGCCAGGCUGUCUCCACCCGAGACUCAGUGAAAUUGAACUCGCUGUGAAGAUGCAGUGUACCCGCGGCAAGACGGAAAGACCCCGUGAACCUUUACUAUAGCUUGACACUGAACAUUGAGCCUUGAUGUGUAGGAUAGGUGGGAGGCUUUGAAGCGUGGACGCCAGUCUGCGUGGAGCCAACCUUGAAAUACCACCCUUUAAUGUUUGAUGUUCUAACGUUGGCCCCUUAUCGGGGUUGCGGACAGUGUCUGGUGGGUAGUUUGACUGGGGCGGUCUCCUCCCAAAGCGUAACGGAGGAGCACGAAGGUUAGCUAAUCCUGGUCGGACAUCAGGAGGUUAGUGCAAUGGCAUAAGCUAGCUUGACUGCGAGCGUGACGGCGCGAGCAGGUGCGAAAGCAGGUCAUAGUGAUCCGGUGGUUCUGAAUGGAAGGGCCAUCGCUCAACGGAUAAAAGGUACUCCGGGGAUAACAGGCUGAUACCGCCCAAGAGUUCAUAUCGACGGCGGUGUUUGGCACCUCGAUGUCGGCUCAUCACAUCCUGGGGCUGAAGUAGGUCCCAAGGGUAUGGCUGUUCGCCAUUUAAAGUGGUACGCGAGCUGGGUUUAGAACGUCGUGAGACAGUUCGGUCCCUAUCUGCCGUGGGCGCUGGAGAAUUGAGGGGGGCUGCUCCUAGUACGAGAGGACCGGAGUGGACGCAUCACUGGUGUUCGGGUUGUCAUGCCAAUGGCACUGCCCGGUAGCUAAAUGCGGAAGAGAUAAGUGCUGAAAGCAUCUAAGCACGAAACUUGCCCCGAGAUGAGUUCUCCCUGAGACUUUAAGUCUCCUGAAGGAACGUU
RNAcentral lists this ribosomal RNA (2825 nucleotides) under Klebsiella pneumoniae. RNAcentral describes it as "partial 23S ribosomal RNA". It matches the Rfam family "Bacterial large subunit ribosomal RNA". The record is from RNAcentral. Lineage: Bacteria; Pseudomonadati; Pseudomonadota; Gammaproteobacteria; Enterobacterales; Enterobacteriaceae.